AUGCGUGGUGCAGGUGAUGCAUGGCAGCAGUGCAUGCUGCCAGAAGUGCAUGGUGCAAGGGAUGCAUGGCAGCAGUGCGUGCUGCCAGAGGUGCAUAGUGCAAAGGGGAUGCAUGGCAGCAAUGCAUGCUGCCAGAGAUGCACGGUGCAGGUGAUGCAUGGCAGCAACGCAUGGUGCCAGAGGUGCGUGGUGCAAGGGCUGCGUGGCAGCAGUGCGUGGUGCCAGAUGUGCAUGGUGCAGGUGAUGCAUGGCAGCAAUGCAUGCUGCCAGAGGUGCAUGGUGCAGGUGAUGCAUGGCAGCAAUGCGUGCUGCAAGGCGAUGCAGCACAGUGCACAGUGCCGGUGGUGCAUGGAAGCAAUGCAUGGCGGUGGUGCAUGGAAGCAAUGCAUGGUGCAGCAGUGCAUGAUGCUGGCAGUGCAUGCCGGGAGCACGCUGCAUUCCCCCCUGCUCCCGCUUGGCUGUAUAUUUAGGACACUCCUGUGCAAAACACCAAGUAUGUUGGAAGGCGUCCAGGCGCGCUCGCAUUCCUCGGGGUGGAAUCUGCCCCCGCGAACGCCGCCUGACCUUUCCCAGUUUGGGCUGCAGGAACAAUACUGGGGCCCAUCCUGUGCUCAGCCUGGGGCAAGCAGACCCCCCCUUACCCCCCCGCCCCCCCCUCAGUCCCUUCCCACGCGCUCAGCACUACCGGUCAAGGCGUGCACGGAGUUGAUGGGGUCAGACCUGGAUCCGAGCUGUCCCCCCACCACGGUGCUUCUCUGGUGCUGAUGUGCAUGGGGGGAGCAGACCCCCCUCCCCCCCACGGGGAGCACAGCCCCAAAUGGGGCCGUGCAUGAGUGCUGGAGGCCCUCACGGUGCUCCCCAUCGAAUGCCCCGGUGUGUUGGACUCCGGCUGCCCGGUGGGGGGGGGGGCAGUGUGUGUGGGCAGCCCCCAGCCUCAUUUCACCUGGCUCCAGCGGGUGGUUGGAUAGCAAAGCCCCCCCCGCUCCCCCUCCCCCGGCUGCUGGCACCGACAGCUGG
Molecule: long non-coding RNA, 1017 nt
Filed under: Chrysolophus pictus (golden pheasant)
Lineage: Eukaryota; Metazoa; Chordata; Aves; Galliformes; Phasianidae
Description: lncRNA (ENSCPIG00010004908.1)
Source: RNAcentral